RNAcentral lists this ribosomal RNA (554 nucleotides) under Rhizophagus irregularis. RNAcentral describes it as "SSU rRNA". It matches the Rfam family "Eukaryotic small subunit ribosomal RNA", at positions 557 to 1112 of the family's 1831-position model. Lineage: Eukaryota; Fungi; Glomeromycota; Glomeromycetes; Glomerales; Glomeraceae. The record is from RNAcentral.
AAGUCUGGUGCCAGCAGCCGCGGUAAUUCCAGCUCCAAUAGCGUAUAUUAAAGUUGUUGCAGUUAAAAAGCUCGUAGUUGAAUUUCGGGGUUAGUAGGUUGGUCAUGCCUCUGGUAUGUACUGGUCUCACUGAUUCCUCCUUCCUGAUGAACCGUAAUGCCAUUAAUUUGGUGUUGCGGGGAAUUUGGACUGUUACUUUGAAAAAAUUAGAGUGCUUAAAGCAAGCUAACGCUUGAAUACAUUAGCAUGGAAUAAUGAAAUAGGACGUUCGAUCUUAUUUUGUUGGUUUCUAGGAUUGACGUAAUGAUUAAUAGGGAUAGUUGGGGGCAUUAGUAUUCAAUUGUCAGAGGUGAAAUUCUUGGAUUUAUUGAAGACUAACUACUGCGAAAGCAUUUGCCAAGGAUGUUUUCAUUAAUCAAGAACGAAAGUUAGGGGAUCGAAGACGAUCAGAUACCGUCGUAGUCUUAACCAUAAACUAUGCCGACUAGGGAUCGGAUGAUGUUAAUUUUUUAAUGACUCAUUCGGCGCCUUACGGGAAACCAAAGUGUUUGGGU